This 200-nucleotide ribosomal RNA is filed under the name uncultured bacterium. RNAcentral's name for it is "partial 16S ribosomal RNA". It matches the Rfam family "Bacterial small subunit ribosomal RNA", at positions 8 to 206 of the family's 1533-position model. The record is from RNAcentral.
AGAGUUUGAUCCUGGCUCAGAACGAACGCUGGCGGCGGGCCUCAUACAUGCAAGUCGAGCGCGAAAGUCCGCAAGGAUGAGUAAAGCGGCGCACGGGUGAGUAACACGUGGAUAAUCUACCCUUUGGAUUGGAAUAACCUGUCGAAAGACGGGCUAAUGCCGAGUAAGUUCUCGGGAGCGUGAAGCUCCUGCGAAGAAAG